RNAcentral lists this ribosomal RNA (453 nucleotides) under uncultured bacterium. Its description in RNAcentral is "partial 16S ribosomal RNA". It matches the Rfam family "Bacterial small subunit ribosomal RNA", at positions 28 to 506 of the family's 1533-position model. The record is from RNAcentral.
GAUGAACGCUGACAGAAUGCUUAACACAUGCAAGUCAACUUGAACUUCGGUUUGGGUGGCGGACGGGUGAGUAACGCGUAAAGAACUUGCCUCACAGAUAGGGGCAACAUUUGGAAACGAAUGCUAAUACCUGAUAUUAUGAUUUUAGGGCAUCCUAGGAUUAUGAAAGCUAUAUGCGCUGUGAGAGAGCUUUGCGUCCCAUUAGCUAGUUGGAGAGGUAACGGCUCACCAAGGCGAUGAUGGGUAGCCGGCCUGAGAGGGUGAUCGGCCACAAGGGGACUGAGACACGGCCCUUACUCCUACGGGAGGCAGCAGUGGGGAAUAUUGGACAAUGGACCAAGAGUCUGAUCCAGCAAUUCUGUGUGCACGAUGAAGUUUUUCGGAAUGUAAAGUGCUUUCAGUUGGGAAGAAAAAAAUGACGGUACCAACAGAAGAAGUGACGGCUAAAUACGU